RNAcentral lists this ribosomal RNA (764 nucleotides) under uncultured Prevotella sp. RNAcentral's name for it is "bacterial SSU rRNA". It matches the Rfam family "Bacterial small subunit ribosomal RNA", at positions 28 to 776 of the family's 1533-position model. Lineage: Bacteria; Pseudomonadati; Bacteroidota; Bacteroidia; Bacteroidales; Prevotellaceae. The record is from RNAcentral.
GAUGAACGCUAGCUACAGGCUUAACACAUGCAAGUCGCGGGGCAUCAUGGAGGUUGCUUGCAAUUUCUGAUGGCGACCGGCGCACGGGUGAGUAACGCGUAUCCAACCUUCCCAUUACUACGGCAUACCCCGUUGAAAGGCGGCCUAAUUCCGUAUGCAGUCCGAAGCAGUCAUCUAAUUUGGACGAAAGGUAUAUUCUAUCGGUAAUGGAUGGGGAUGCGUCCGAUUAGCCAGCCGGCGGGGUAACGGCCCACCGGGGCAUUGAUCGGUAGGGGUUCUGAGAGGAAGGUCCCCCACACUGGAACUGAGACACGGUCCAGACUCCUACGGGAGGCAGCAGUGAGGAAUAUUGGUCAAUGGGCGUAAGCCUGAACCAGCCAAGUAGCGUGCAGGAUGACGGCCUUAUGGGUUGUAAACUGCUUUUAUGCGGGGAUAAAGUUGGGGACGUGUCCCUUUUUGCAGGUACCGCAUGAAUAAGGACCGGCUAAUUCCGUGCCAGCAGCCGCGGUAAUACGGAAGGUCCGGGCGUUAUCCGGAUUUAUUGGGUUUAAAGGGAGCGUAGGCAGUUUUUUAAGCGUGCUGUGAAAUGUACCGGCUCAACCGGUGAUGUGCAGCGCGAACUGGGAAUCUUGAGUACGCAGUAAGCAGGCGGAAUUCGUGGUGUAGCGGUGAAAUGCUUAGAUAUCACGAAGAACUCCGAUUGCGUAGGCAGCUUGCUGUAGCGUAACUGACGCUGAAGCUCGAAAGUGCGGGUAUCGAACAGG